Molecule: long non-coding RNA, 1144 nt
Organism: Mus musculus (house mouse)
Lineage: Eukaryota; Metazoa; Chordata; Mammalia; Rodentia; Muridae
Product: predicted gene, 33973
Exons: 2
Source: RefSeq, a predicted model, not a curated record
AUCACAGGUUUUUCUGUGAGCACGCUGACUUCCCAAUGUCAUUGAUUAAGGCAGAGACAGUGCUCUAGGGGACACAGUUUCCUGAGAGAUGACUCCUAAGAGUGCCACACGGACCUCUGCAUCUUAAAGCGGUGCUUUGCACUCGUGCCUGGGUUUAAUUUGCAGUUUAAAAUAUAGAUGCGUUUGGAGUGCUCAGUGCCUGUCCCUGCUCCAUCUGCGGUGGCUGCAGAGAGGGUGAAGAGCUUGCAUGAUCUGAUGCUGGGGCUUCUGUGUUUAAGAAGCGCUGUUCAGAAGACCGCUGCCUUUUGCCAAAUAAAAAGCUGGCAUGGAUCUGUGAUGAUGGAUCUGAAACUGAGGAGCUGUGAUUUCAGGCAGGGGAGGGGGGAGUUUCUAGCCCUCUCUACCCCAUUGUGACCCUCAAAUUGGCCUUGAGACACCUUUGAGAGCACAAAGAAGUGAAUACAGAAGCUUCCACACAAGGCUACAUUUUCUCUUUCUCCUUUCCUCUGUCUUGCCUGUAUCACUCACCUGGCAGGCACCAGCCAUUGUGUGGCUCAAGGUUCCUGUGUUUCUACAACAGUCAGAGCACAGAAGGCUCAGCAUGUGGUCCAAGGGCGACACUUUCACUCUCAGACUGCUGGUCAAUGAGCCAAGCCCUUGAACCUCUUCUGGGCUGCCAGAGUAUUUCAUGGAUAUCAAAAUCUCCUGCGUCAGGCUCACAGAGCAGAAGCUGUGACUGAAGGCUCACCCAUACCAGCUACACAGGCUGUGGGAGCAUUGAAGAGAUGCUUGUUAUCAUCCAGCUAGGCUAAUCCAUUUUAUAAAGUCCCAAGGACUGGCGCCUGGUUGCUAAGUGAUUUAGACACAGCCUUUUCCUGCACUCUUAAAACAUUUCCCGAAAGUCUUCAUUGGCCAUGGCAUGACUCUGCUAGCUGUGCCGUGCUCCCAGUACUUAGGAGCUGUGCUCCCAGUACUUUAGGAGUACUGUCUGUCUUGAGACCAGGUGGUCCCUUGUAGAACUGGGAUGGGAUCUGAUGCUGUGUUGGUCUCAUAACUGGACAUGUGGGAAUACUUUUUAACUCCCCUUAGAAAGAACUUAUCAAUAAGGCAAUAAACUUAUCAAUAAACUUGUUUGUUUACAUAA